UGGGGAAUUUUGGACAAUGGGCGAAAGCCUGAUCCAGCAAUGCCGCGUGUGUGAAGAAGGCCUUCGGGUUGUAAAGCACUUUUGUCCGGAAAGAAAUGGCUCUGGUUAAUACCUGGGGUCGAUGACGGUACCGGAAGAAUAAGGACCGGCUAACUACGUGCCAGCAGCCGCGGUAAUACGUAGGGUCCAAGCGUUAAUCGGAAUUACUGGGCGUAAAGCGUGCGCAGGCGGUUGUGCAAGACCGAUGUGAAAUCCCCGAGCUUAACUUGGGAAUUGCAUUGGUGACUGCACGGCUAGAGUGUGUCAGAGGGGGGUAGAAUUCCACGUGUAGCAGUGAAAUGCGUAGAGAUGUGGAGGAAUACCGAUGGCGAAGGCAGCCCCCUGGGAUAACACUGACGCUCAUGCACGAAAGCGUGGGGAGCAAACAGGAUUAGAUACCCUGGUAGUCCACGCCCUAAACGAUGUCAACUAGUUGUUGGGGAUUCAUUUCCUUAGUAACGUAGCUAACGCGUGAAGUUG
RNAcentral lists this ribosomal RNA (519 nucleotides) under uncultured bacterium. Its description in RNAcentral is "partial 16S ribosomal RNA". It matches the Rfam family "Bacterial small subunit ribosomal RNA", at positions 355 to 867 of the family's 1533-position model. The record is from RNAcentral.